RNAcentral lists this ribosomal RNA (245 nucleotides) under uncultured bacterium. RNAcentral describes it as "partial 16S ribosomal RNA". It matches the Rfam family "Bacterial small subunit ribosomal RNA", at positions 88 to 334 of the family's 1533-position model. The record is from RNAcentral.
AUGGCGACCGGCGCACGGGUGAGUAACACGUAUCCAACCUGCCGAUAACUCGGGGAUAGCCUUUCGAAAGAAAGAUUGAUACCCGAUGGUAUAAUCAGACCGCAUGGUUUGAUUAUUAAAGAAUUUCGGUUAUCGAUGGGGAUGCGUUCCAUUAGGCAGUUGGUGAGGUAACGGCUCACCAAACCUUCGAUGGAUAGGGGUUCUGAGAGGAAGGUCCCCCACAUUGGAACUGAGACACGGUCCAA